UACACUCUGCGGGAGGCAGCAGUGGGGAAUAUUGGACAAUGGGCGCAAGCCUGAUCCAGCCAUGCCGCGUGAGUGAUGAAGGCCCUAGGGUUGUAAAGCUCUUUCACCGGUGAAGAUAAUGACGGUAACCGGAGAAGAAGCCCCGGCUAACUUCGUGCCAGCAGCCGCGGUAAUACGAAGGGGGCUAGCGUUGUUCGGAUUUACUGGGCGUAAAGCGCACGUAGGCGGACUAUUAAGUCAGGGGUGAAAUCCCGGGGCUCAACCCCGGAACUGCCUUUGAUACUGGUAGUCUUGAGUUCGAGAGAGGUGAGUGGAAUUCCGAGUGUAGAGGUGAAAUUCGUAGAUAUUCGGAGGAACACCAGUGGCGAAGGCGGCUCACUGGCUCGAUACUGACGCUGAGGUGCGAAAGCGUGGGGAGCAAACAGGAUUAGAAACCCCAGUAGUCCCAUGA
Molecule: ribosomal RNA, 451 nt
Filed under: uncultured organism
Description: partial 16S ribosomal RNA
Rfam family: Bacterial small subunit ribosomal RNA
Source: RNAcentral